UGGAAAACUGGCCCAUAGAGUUCUAUAGAUGAAUGAGGUCUGGAAAACUGGCCCAUAGAGUUCUAUAGAUGAAUGAGGUCUGGAAAACUGUCCCAUAGAGUUCUAUAGAUGAAUGAGGUCUGGAAAACUGGCCCAUAGAGUUCUAUAGAUGAAUGAGGUCUGGAAAACUGUCCCAUAGAGUUCUAUAGAUGAAUGAGGUCUGGAAAACUGGCCCAUAGAGUUCUAUAGAUGAAUGAGGUCUGGAAAACUGGCCCAUAGAGUUCUAUAGAUGAAUGAGGUCUGGAAAACUGGCCCAUAGAGUUCUAUAGAUGAAUGAGGUCUGGAAAACUGGCCCAUAGAGUUCUAUAGAUGAAUGAGGUCUGGAAAACUGGCCCAUAGAGUUCUAUAGAUGAAUGAAGUCUGGAAAACUGGCCCAUAGAGUUCUAUAGAUGAAUGAGGUCUGGAAAACUGUCCCAAAGAGUUCCAUAGAUAAAUGAGCGAGUCGUGUUAUGUUUCUCUGCCUCUGACAGGAAGUGUGCGUUGAGCGGCGUGUCCCGGUCCUGCACGCACCGCAUCAAACUUGGAGACAGAGAGUUACUACCACAUCUCUCCCUCUAGCAGGGCACGGAUAACAGCGGUGUGUGAUUUCUUCACCUAUAUCCGCUACAUACAGCAGGGCCUGGUCAGACAUGAUGCGGAACAGAUGUUCUGGGAAGUGACGCGUCUACGGAGGGAGAUGACUGUGGCCAAGCUGGGCUUCUACCUCACAGACACAGACCAGGGAUAGAGGACAGACAAGAGGAGACAUCACCGUUAGCCCUGGGUCAUGUUCAUUAGGGCACACCGUAGCAACUAAAAAAAGAAACGUUGUGCUUGACAGACCGUUUUUUUUUUGUUUUGUUUUUGCAAGCGCUUCGUAUUGGACAAGUUCAAGAUAUUACCACCCGUUUAGGGACGCUUUCUUCCGUUUUCAUGCCUACUGAACACGACCCUGGGCUUAGAAAGACAAGAGAUACCAGCUGUACAGAGACACGAGAUCACCAGUACCCCUUUUUACACUGUCCUGAUAAUCCAACCCCAAAAAUCCACUGGGCUGGAGUGUGAAAAGUCCUCAGCUGGCCACGGUGAACACAGAAACCAGAUCACGGAUCUUAUUGAGUAGGAGAGCCAUUUUCAAGUGUGUCUGACGAGGGAAGCAGAAAUGCUACAGCAAAUAUGACACCAUUUAGCAAUUAGAUUAGAUUAGAUUAGUCUCGUAACAAAUCAGCCCGAUCUGGCGAGCUACACGGUAGAGGAAACAUUUUUUUUUUGUAGCAAAACAGAAAGUAAGCUUGUGAGAUCAGUAGAGUUCGUACGAUGCUAGCAGUUAGAGCUAUGUACUUUAUAAACUAGCACAAUAUUAUAACACAACCACAAAGACAUACAAUAAAUAGCAUCUUUUAAAAGGACAGUAAGCGUAUAUGUGAAAAUGUAUCAAUAUACCAUAGAAACUCUUGUUAUUACUACGUAAAAUUGACAAGUGGUUACACAGCUGAUCUUAGUUGGCACAGAUUGAAACUAUAUACGCAUGUGUCAUGCUGCCACGGAAACACUAGUAUGGGUUUAAUCCUAACUGGUCAGGUUAAUCUCACAGAUCUUUUUAAGUUGGAGUUCUGACCAAUAGAGAACUAUGCUGCUCACUUUUCAUUCUAACAGCUGUCAUGUGGUACCUGUGUACCAGUCCUGCAUGUUGUCUCAUCUCCUCUCACCUUAACAACCAGACUACGUACGUGUUGUCGUCUCCUCUCACCUUAACAACCAGACUACGUACGUGUUGUCGUCUCCUC
Oncorhynchus keta (chum salmon) is the source of this 1805-nucleotide long non-coding RNA. RefSeq lists it as uncharacterized. The transcript has 6 exons. NCBI's taxonomy places the organism in Eukaryota, Metazoa, Chordata, Actinopteri, Salmoniformes, Salmonidae. The record is from RefSeq and is a predicted model, not a curated record.